Molecule: long non-coding RNA, 977 nt
Filed under: Heterocephalus glaber (naked mole-rat)
Lineage: Eukaryota; Metazoa; Chordata; Mammalia; Rodentia; Bathyergidae
Description: lncRNA (ENSHGLG00000042966.1)
Source: RNAcentral
CUUUGCCGCCGCGGCAGGGGCGGGGCUUGAACCCUCAGUGGAGGACCAAGCUCAACCCCUGCCCGGGCAAGGAGGUCACGUGGCCUCACCCGGAAGCGCGUCCGUGGUGGAGCUGCAGCCAGGCGUUGUGGGCCGAGAUCUGUGCUGCGCGCGCCUGAAGGCUUUGAGCAAGGCCCACGGUGAAGGGUGACCCUCGCUCUGCUGAGACUCACACCAGCGCUUACGUCCAGGACCAAGGAUGCUCUGCUGCAGUUUCAUGAGCUGGUCACUGAGUUUGGCUGCUACAGCCCCUUCUGAACCUCUGGUUGCCUGAAGCUCUGAUGUGCUACUUGCCAAGGUAGAUGCUCUUUUCUUCUUGGGGCAGAGAGGGAGACAGGCAGCACCAUGCUGCAACCUUGGAAACUGAAUGAGGCAGGCUGAACUCUCCUGGACUCUGCACUCCUCUUUGCCCCAACCCUGCUCCAGCUUUGCAUCCUGAUGUCACCUCUGCCUAGCAUCCCUGUCAUCCCCUGCACCUAGGUGACCAUCAAGGCCUGCUGAGUCUCUUUAUGCCUCUUAAAUAAUUUUUUUCCUCUCCAUCAAGGAAUGGGCCCACACCAAGCUAGCUGGCCUUCAUGACAUUAGUAUGGCCCAUCCAUCGCCAGCCCCUUCCUGUCAGCCACAGCCUCUAUGUCCCAUAGCCAACUUCUGGUAAGGCUGGCCCCACAAACCUCAACUUCAUCACACCCACCUCUGAGUCCUAGAGCAUCCUCUUCCAGGUCUCCUGCCCUCUCCAGCAACUUCUCACUCCGUUGCUCUUCUAGUCUCUUCCAUAGUGUUUAGCAAUCCCAUGGGAAUAGGCUGAACUAUUAAGUGUGCUGUUCUGUCUUCCUACAUUGGCCUGUAAAAGCUUGGGUGGGGGGUGAGCUAGAAGGUUGAGAAGAAUGCAGUGAGAACUAGAGCUAGGCUCAAAGGGGAUCCUGCAGAGUACGAUUGAG